RNAcentral lists this transfer RNA (67 nucleotides) under Marmota monax (woodchuck). Its description in RNAcentral is "tRNA.Ala". The record is from RNAcentral. Lineage: Eukaryota; Metazoa; Chordata; Mammalia; Rodentia; Sciuridae.
GGUUAUGGCUCAGUGGUAGAGAGCUCGCCUCGCAUGUGCAAGGUCCUGGGUUCAAUCCUCAGCACCA